UACUGAGUAUCUAGCAAUUGUUGUGGGGUGUAGGGUUUUGUAAAUCUUCAUAGUAAUUAUGAAUAUUUGUAAAAUUUGUACAAUAUAACAAAUCAUUCUGGAUGUUAGUCUGAAGCAUGAGAGAAACAGCAGUUAUUGUCCUUUAAAAUGAAAUCUUUAGCCUGUCAAGCGUAUGGAGUACUGAAUGCUAUAUAGGUAUUUUAUAUCCCAGGUAAAUGUCAACACUCUUGUGACGAAAACUGGUCGCUGGUUUCUUAGAAAUACUCUGCUCAUUUUCCAGGCCAACGAUUGCUGAUUCGGAUCAGAUAUAAUUUCCAUAUUCCUUAUGAACUCUCUUUUGCUUGUUGCAUCAUUAUUUUAACCGCUGUUUUUUCGCCCAGUUGUCUUGGAAGAACAGCUUCCUACAUUGGCUUUCAUUAUACAUAAAAUAGUUUAGCUCUGAGUGAGAGCACAAUGCCAGAGUGUCUUUGUCUCUAUGGUAUCUUUUGUCGCUUUUGCAGCGUCUGUAAAGCAUGUGCCAUAUUGUUUCUUUCCACUGAUGAUAAGCUCCGAGACUCAUUCUCAACUGGUAAUAGGUUACAGGGGCCCAGUGACUGUGUCUCCUUGACUAUCAUGUAGAGCCUCCACCCAAUACUACACAAAGUCUGUAUUAUUAAAUGGAAUUUCUAUUUCAUUUUGGCUUAGAAGAAAAAGAAAUAAAUAUUCUCCAAAGCAUUAA
This 718-nucleotide long non-coding RNA is filed under the name Rattus norvegicus (Norway rat). RNAcentral describes it as "long non-coding RNA NONRATT021161". Lineage: Eukaryota; Metazoa; Chordata; Mammalia; Rodentia; Muridae. The record is from RNAcentral.